Molecule: ribosomal RNA, 508 nt
Filed under: uncultured bacterium
Lineage: Bacteria
Description: partial 16S ribosomal RNA
Rfam family: Bacterial small subunit ribosomal RNA
Source: RNAcentral
AUUGAACGCUGGCGGCAUGCCUUACACAUGCAAGUCGAACGGCAGCGGGGGAGAAGCUUGCUUUUCCUGCCGGCGAGUGGCGAACGGGUGAGUAAUACAUCGGAACGUGCCCUGUAGUGGGGGAUAACUAGUCGAAAGAUUAGCUAAUACCGCAUACGACCUGAGGGUGAAAGCGGGGGACCGCAAGGCCUCAUGCUAUAGGAGCGGCCGUUGUCUGAUUAGCUAGUUGGUGGGGUAAAGGCCUACCAAGGCGACGAUCAGUAGCUGGUCUGAGAGGACGAUCAGCCACACUGGGACUGAGACACGGCCCAGACUCCUACGGGAGGCAGCAGUGGGGAAUUUUGGACAAUGGGCGAAAGCCUGAUCCAGCAAUGCCGCGUGUGUGAAGAAGGCCUUCGGGUUGUAAAGCACUUUUGUCCGGAAAGAAAUGGCUCUGGUUAAUACCUGGGGUCGAUGACGGUACCGGAAGAAUAAGGACCGGCUAACUACGUGCCAGCCGCCGCAGUAA